RNAcentral lists this ribosomal RNA (253 nucleotides) under uncultured bacterium. RNAcentral's name for it is "partial 16S ribosomal RNA". It matches the Rfam family "Bacterial small subunit ribosomal RNA", at positions 524 to 776 of the family's 1533-position model. The record is from RNAcentral.
UACGUAGGGGGCUAGCGUUGUCCGGAAUCAUUGGGCGUAAAGCGCGUGUAGGCGGCUCGGCAAGUCGGAUGUGAAAGCCCUGGGCUCAACCUAGGAAGUGCAUUCGAAACUGCAGAGCUUGAGUUCUGGAGAGGAAGGCGGAAUUCUCGGUGUAGAGGUGAAAUUCGUAGAUAUCGAGAGGAACACCUGUGGCGAAGGCGGCCUUCUGGACAGUGACUGACGAUGAGACGCGAAAGCGUGGGGAGCAAACAGG